UUUUUUUAUUUUUUAUUUUGUUUGGUGAACAGUAGAUUCAGAAAAAUAAUAAAAAACAAAAAAAGACAAAUGUGACGUCUGUGAAACAGUUAACAAUACAUACUGUUCGGGACAAUCUUUUUUGUUGAGAGACCACUCAAAUAUCCAAACAAGCUGAAAAAUCGGCGCGGACAUCACGCAUUGAAAAUCAUCCAUGCAAAAAUAAUUCCGUUUUUUUUGAAAAAUUUAGUAUUUUUUUGAAUUUACUAUUCAGCCGGUAAAAAAUCAAAAAUGUUUGUUGAAUUUUAUUUCCAACUUUUUUAAAUUUACUGUUCACCCAUCGACAAACAAAAUUAUUUUUUGAUUAUUUUAGUUAUUGUUCAGCCAGUCAACGGGUCAAAUCUGGUCAACUGUGUCAAAACUGGUCAAUAUGGAGGCGAGGUUGAAUUUUGGCCGGUUUUGAGAGUUAGGGGGUGUAAACUAGACGGUAUUGAACUUGGGGGUGUAUAUUAGACUAGGUCUAGAGUUAAGGGGUGUAAUAUGCACUUCUCUCCUUUAGAUUUGACCCCUUGUCACAUUGAUGUCUAAUUAAUCACCUUUGUAUCUCGAGCAGUGUUUUGAAUUUUGAUAUAAAAUCUUAUGAUAAUAUACAUCGAUGUUGCAUCAAUAUGCUAGAUUUUAGAAGAAAAGAAACCCUCGGGUUUUCGGGGCAUUGCAUUCUCACCCAUCUCUUCAUACUCAAGCGACGUUCUCUCUUCUACUUCGUUGACUCUCGCUUUCGCGGUUGCCUCUCUAAGGCGGACACUAUCCUAUCAAUGCAUUUUGGCAUCCCACACCUUUAUUUUUUUGCGAGAAACUUUCAGUCUAUUCAUUUUCAAUCAUGGUGGUUCAAAGAAUAACAGUGGUAAUAAAAACUUAGCCCCCUUUCGUACAACCUGUUCUCUCUUUGUGAAAGGCCUCUGAUUUCAUGAUCUAAUUUGAAGAACUGGCUUAAGAUCGUAGCUCUAGUUGAAAAAAUCCCCCACUCAAGUUAGGCCCUGGAAAACCAACCAAAGAAUGGAAGGAAUGCGCGAUGGAGGCCCUCGUAAAUUAUAAUUUGAACUAUAGCCAGGGCAAAUCUCUUAAUAUCGGAGGUUGGUUUCUAGGCAGGUGCAUAGGAGCCGUCAAAGGAAAGGCGAGAAGCCUUGGCUUUGAUGCACCCCGAUUUAUACAAAAAGGAUCAGAGGUCAAAUUAGUUAACGAAUUAUGAUAUUUGUGAAACAUACAUAAUGUGCUACCCCUCCGUUCCAUAAUGUAAGACUUUUUUUGAUACUACAAUAGUCAAAAAAAUAUGUUACAUUAUGAAACGGAGGGAGUAGAUUUUUAAACAAGGGAACUUCAAUGAAGCCAGAUUCUAUUUUUUAAACAAGGAAUUUCAAUGAAGCCAGAUUCUAUUUUUGCAAAUGCUGCAGCGACUUCUUUGACAGGAAUUCAUCAAUAAAAAAAGUGGAAGAGCAUGAAGCUUCAUUCCCUUGCAAGCUGAUAUGGCGCCUGGCAUUCCACAUUCAAAACAAGCAAUCUCGGGCCGCAGCUUCUAAGAAUCUCAGCUAGCAGGUUUUGCAGCGACCCUCCCCGAGAGGAUAACUAAGGGCGUGUUUGGUUGCCCGCAUAAGAUCCAACCAGGCCCGCGCGUGAAGGAUUCGGCCUGUUUGGUAGCCUGCAUACAUUAUUGGGCCUACAUCGCAUGCUUCUUAAAGCAUCUCAGGGCCUGGCUCACUGAAAACGCACGAAUCGGCAGUUUCUCUAGGGACAGGCCCGAGCGGUGCACGUGGGCGGGCGCGGCUGCACGCGCGCGGCCACGCUCGAGAAGCCGCGUUGCUUCCCGAAGCACCGGCAGUUAUUAGCCUCACCGCCCCUCACCGCUCCCUCUCCCCACUCUUCCCCACUCUUCCAACUCUCACCGGCGGCGGCGGAUUGGAACAGAGGAAGAAGACCACCGGACUCCAUCACCAGCGACGGCGGAUCAGAGCAGAGGAAGAAGACCACCAGACUCCAUCAAUGGUGGUAAGCACUUCUCUCUCUUCGACAUGAACACUUGAUUCGAUCCACGGCGAUAGAUUUGAUCCACGGCGGACGAGAAUGGGGAACAGAGGUAGCUAAGCAUAGGGGUAAUUCAUACUAGUUCAUAGCAGUUCAUACGAGUUCAUACAUAGCAGUUCAUACAUGCAAGAUCGGUAGAUUUCGCGAUUGGGGGAUAGGGGAAUAGGGGGAAAGGGGGUACAGAACGGACACCGGCUGACCGUGGCGGCCGUCACCGGCGUGCGGAGCGGCUGGUCGAGCCGCUGGCCUUCAUCUUCUUAUUCAUCGCCGUGCGGUCCGGCGGGUCAUCCUCGGCGGAGUCGAGGUCGGUCUGCCAAGUAGGACGGACUGGCUUCGGUGCCCUAACCGCCUCUUCUUCCUCCUCCUUAGACUCCCCGCCAAUGACCGCCGACGGCGCGAUACCCGUCCCCAGUACACUGCGGCACGGCGGUCAUUAGGAGCCCAGUAGGUCUUGUACUUGCACCACUUCUUCCUCUGUUUAGGGUCGUCGGAGACGGCCUGAUUCAUGGCCCAGCAAAUGAUGUCAACUGCCAUCGCACCCUUCGCUGGGUCAGGAAUCAGUGUCUUCAGCUCAUCUUUAGUGGCCUUCAUGAGCACGACAUUGGAUUCGUUCUGCAUGUCCAGCAUGGAGCCGAAGUUCGAGCACACCUCCAUGGUGUUCUCGAACUUGGUCCGAUCACCAGCCGUCCACCCGAGAAAGAAGGCCCUCCAGCCAAUACCCCAAGGGAAGGGGUUGCCGUUGGAGCUGGAGCUAGAGCUCAUGGCGAUAGGGAGGAGGAAGGUUGACAGUGAGAGAAGAGAGGGGGUGGGUAAAUAGUGGUGGGUAGGGUGAGUAAAUAUAGGGGGUGGAGAGGAGGAGAAGAGUGACAGUCAUGUCGUUUUAACUACAAGCUCUUGAAUUAGCCAUGAACUCUGUGCAAUGCCUGAUUCCAUGACUUGUGUGCAGAUCGAGGAUAGCAAUGAGAUGGGCACGGAGGUACUCUCGGCCGUUGAUAGCAAGGGCAAGCAGCCCCUUCACCCAAUGCCUGACGAGGUUGAGCUACCGCCCACCACCGAGGAAGACCCGAAAACGCGUGAGGGUGGCGACGACGAGGGCAUGGAGGAGCCCCUAGCAACAAGUGCCGCAACUACGGCCACUACCAUCAAGAGGAUGACCCAACUCACUUCCGCAAGGUCAUCCUUGCACCGAAGCUUGAGUGCAUCCCCAUGCCCCUGGACUUCACCAAGCACUUCGUCGCGGUGCCGACGGAGUUCAAGCUCAGGAAGAACACCGACUGCUCCUGGAAGGUAACGGUCAAGCUGAUGAACGGCAGGGUGACCCUAGAUCAGGGUUGGGCCACCUACGCAGCCGUUCAUCAGAUCAACAUCGGCUACAUGGUGAUGUUCAAGCUCCUCACUCCCGACACCCUCAAGGUCAUCAUCUUCGACGACGAUAGCAUUGAGGUCAUCAACAAGUGCGGGAAGCACAACGAAGCCUUCGCCGCCAAGGAGUAGGGCCGGGGCACCUUCUUUUUAAUUACUAUCGAGUCUGCUUUGAACUGUUUAUGGUUUAUGCGUUGAAAUGUUAUAUCUGUGGUACUGCUUAUAUCUGAAUUAUGCUAGUUGAUGCUCUGUUUAUACUCUGUUGUGCUUAUGAUGUGUGAUGCCAAAGUGUGGUGGUAACCUCACCAACUAGCCAAAUAGAUUACCACACAUCAGGCCUUGCAUAUAAUAAAACACCAUGCCUUGGGUUUGUGGACUAACAUGCAGGCAACCAAACACCAGGCAGUGUGGUUCAGCCCAUGCAGGUAAGAGGGCAUGCAGGCAACCAAACAACAUGCAUAUGGUGCAUUUGAGGCUGCAUUUGCAUAGCCAGGUUGGAUGGAGAAAUUUAUGCAAUGCGGGUACUGUAGCACACGGCAACCAAACACGCCUUAGGAAGCUCACUCUAAUUAGACCAGCUGCAAUACGUUGGAUGUUAGGAUCCUCCUAGCAUGUACACGUACAGAGGCUGCCCCUUGGACCAGCCCAUGGACUUGGCCCUCGGUGCAGCUACUUAAGCAUGGUGUACAGAAGGAGAGGGUAUCCAGUGGAUCACGAACGAACCGACGACGGCUCUUUCCUCCUACCUUCUUCCCCCUGUUGCAAGCUUCCUCUGUUCUUCUCAUCCAUUGUGUAAUUCCUCUGUAAUCACUACUCUAUAUUGCUACUCGUGAGAGAGAUCGAUCUAUACAAGCUAGCUACCAUCACCUCUCUUACAUCUGGUAUCAGAGACCAGCCACCACUCCUUCCCUAUGCGUUUCGCCAAGCUCGUCGGCAUCGGGCAGCCAUGGAUCCAUGGAUGCAGGCGUAUCUCGAGCGGAUCGACACCAUGCUCGAUGCCUACACAGACGCCACCAGGUCCCUCACCGAGAAAGUGGACGCUCUGGUCGUCGUCUGGCGGCCAGACCUGGAGAAGAGGUCCUCCCACACCGCCGUCGUCCACGGUCCACCGGCGCCGACCUCGGCGCUCGAGACCACUACUGAGGCGUCUGAACCCGUCCCUAACAUCUACUACUCCACCACCAAGGCCCAGGAGAUCCCCACGGUCGCCCAUGAUGCAACUCCGAUAUGCAUUCCGAUGGUGCCUGUCACCUGUUCGACGGAUUGCCCGACCCAGAUCGACGCCAUCGACAGCGCCGACGAAGUCCAUGACGCCGCCAGCGUCGCAACAGAGGUUCGCAACACUACAACCGCACUCGGCCCCGAGCUCGCGGUCGACCUCUGCAACACCUGUGGUCACUAUGGCAAGUUCGACGGCCUCAACAUCCCCGUGAAGGCCAGCAUCAGCCCGCCGCCCCACGUCCAGGAUGCAUUCCCAAAUUCCACAAUCAGCAAUUGUCGUGCCGAUGUUGCCGGGACGGACGAGUACGCACUCGUGGAGGCCACUCCAGACGUCGCCAUUGAGCUUGCCAUCCUCCCAGGCGUCUCCUCCUUCAUGAACAAACUAUUCUGGAAGCAUGACAUGGACGUCUCGCCGCCCACAAGGCACAAAGGGCUGCCAAUACGGCCGACACCAUGGCCGUCAUUUUUGGUGCAUCAUAGUGCAAAGGGGAACGAGAUUCGACCCACUCCGUGGCUAUCGUUUUCUUGCUCUCAUGAAGGUAUGACUCUGAAUCAUGAAACUCUGCUGCCUCAUGUUACAUGUGUGAUGAAGAAAUUACUUGCUAGAGGAUGCACUGAUUUCACACUCGGAAAGACUGGUUUACCCAGAUUUCACGUUGAUAAUUCCGCGUAUAGUUCUAAGCAAGUUGGUGAUCUUUUGGUGCACCGACCGCUUGUGAUACUGAAGCAUAGGGGCUGCCUAAAACCUUUGAGCAGCAAGACUGAAGUACCUUGUUGGUGUGAUCACUUCAUCAGCAGAAGUCCACAAAUAUCCCAGGCAAUGCAUUGCCAACUAGUAAAUGAGCUGAAACCUUCUUGGCUGCUGAAUUAUUUAUCUGUUGUCCUGAAUUCUUUCUCAACAUUCUCAAGAUAUUUGCCAAGGGUAGAGCAGGUGCCCAGUAUUUUUCUGAAGGUUGUUUCCAGGAUCCGUAUGGUGCCAAUAGAUAUUCUUAUUCUGAGCAAUCGGUUAAUCCUAUUACCUCUCUCAUGGUUGUCCACUGUUGUGGCCUGAUUCCCGUGGAGGAGCACUUCAAUUGUGUGCAAAAUACCGAGUUGCAGUUUUCCUAUUUACUAGCUGGAAGAACAUAUACUGAUAAAUGGUUAAGUCAAAAAGGUUCCGAGGGAAUUGAGUGCUUGGAUAUCUUGUUGAUCAGUCUACAGUGUAUUGACGACCGCCUAGCAGAAAUUAUGUUCGAUGAGAUUGCGCUGCAGCUUGCUACACAUUGCAAGGAAUUUGGCAUUGCAGGAGAGGUGUUGAACAGCUAUGUUUCUCCUGUUGCUUCAGUGGAGCACCCACCCUGUACUUUUGGGCAGCUUAUCCUAUUUGUGUCAAUGCACUGGAACAAUUCAUGUCGGAAGGGAUUCAAAAGAAGUGGUCAUACUGCAAUCAGCUUACACGUACAAGAGUAAUUCACUAGUGUGUGAAACUGCUAGUUCAGUUAAAGGGUUGACUGGAUUGAAAUCUGAGGAUGUCGGGUCUAACUCAAUAACAUUCUCAAGGAGGGAGGGGUGUCAUCGCUGUCGCAGCCCGCUUCGCGCAAAGCUCCAUCGACCACAAGUACUACAUUGACUUUAACAAUGACUACUUCCUCGACAGUUCCUUCGGUGGGAUCGCAAUCGUCCAUAACUACUACUCCCAUGUUGUUAAAGCCAUCUCUGCCUUUAGCUGCCGCUACGACUUUGAGCCAGUCAAGGACCAUCGAGUGCAAUGGGACCCGGGCGAUUUUCGGUGGCACCGGCUUGGGGUCAAGCCGGAUUUCAAGGAGGGAGGGAUGUUAGGAGCCUCCUAGCCUGUACACGUACAAGGGCUGCCCCUUGGACCAGCCCAUGGACUUGGCCCUCGGUGCAGCUACUUAAGCGUGGUGUACAGAAGGAGAGGGUAUCCAGUGGAUCACGAACGAACCGACGACGGCUCUUUCCUCCUACCUUCUUCCCCCUGUUGCAAGCUUCCUCUGUUCUUCUCCUCCAUUGUGUAAUUCCUCUGUAAUCACUACUCUAUAUUGCUACUCGUGAGAGAGAUCGAUCUAUACAAGCUAGCUACCAUCACCUCUCUUACAUCUGGUAUCAGAGACCAGCCACCACUCCUUCCCUAUGCGUUUCGCCAAGCUCGUCGGCAUCGGGCAGCCAUGGAUCCAUGGAUGCAGGCGUAUCUCGAGCGGAUCGACACCAUGCUCGACGCCUACAUCGACGCCACCAGGUCCCUCACCGAGAAAGUGGAUGCCCUGGUCGUCGCCUGGCGGCCAGACCUGGAGAAGAGGUCCUCCCACACCACCGUCGUCCACGGUCCACCAGCGCCGACCUCGGCGCUCGAGACCACUACUGAGGCAUCCGAACCCGUCCCUAACAUCUACUACUCUACCACCAAGGCGCAGGAGAACCCCACGGUCGCCCAUGAUGCAACUCCGAUAUGCAUUCCGAUGGUGCCUGUCACCUGUUCGACGGAUUGCUCGACCCAGGUCGACGCCAUCGAGAGCGCCGACGAAGUCCAUGACGCCACCACCGUCGCAAUGGAGCUUCACAACACUACAACUGCACUCGGCCCCGAGCUUGCGGUCGACCUCUGCAACACCAUGGCGACCACCAAGGUAGCCACCUGUGGUCACUACGGCAAGUUCGACGGCCUCAACAUCCCCGUGAAGGCCAGCAUCAGCCCGCCGCCCCACGUCCAGGAUGCAUUUCCAAAUUAUUCCACAAUCAGCAACUCCCGCGCCGAUGUUGCCGGGACGGAUGAGUACGCACUCGUGGAGGCCACUGCAGACGUCACCAUUGAGCUUGCCAUCCUCCCAGGCGUCUCCUCCUUCAUGAACAAGCUAUUCCGGAAGCAUGACAUGGACGUCUCGCCGCCCGCAAGGCACAAAGGGCUGCCAAUACGGCCGACACCAUGGCCGUCAUUUCUGGUGCAUCAUACUGCAAAGGGGAAUGAGAUUCGACCCACUCCGUGGCCAUCGUUUUCUUGCUCUCAUGAAGGUAUGACUCUGAAUCAUGAAACUCUGCUGCCUCAUGUUACAUGUGUGAUGAAGAAAUUACUUGCUAGAGGAUGUAGUGAUUUCACACUCGGAAAGACUGGUUUACCCAGAUUUCACGUUGAUAAUUCCGCGUAUAGUUCUAAGCAAGUUGGUGAUCUUUUGGUGCGCCGACCGCUUGUGAGACUUAAGCAUAGGGGCUGCCUAAAACCUUUGAGCAGCAACACUGAAGUACCUUGUUGGUUUGAUUACUUCAUCAGCAGAAGUCCACAAUACCCCAGGCAAUGUAUUGCCAACUAGAAAAGGAGCUGAAACCUUCUUGGCUGCUGAAUUAUUUAUCUGUUGUCCUGAAUUCUUUCUCAACAUUCUCAGGAUAUUUGCCAAGGGUAGAGCAGGUGCCCAAUAUUUUUCUGAAGGUUGUUUGCAGGAUCCGUAUGGUGCCAAUAGAUAUUCUUAUUCUGAGCCAACCGGUUAACCCUAUUACCUCUCUCAUGGUUGUCCACUGAUGUGACCUGAUUCCCGUGGAGGAGCACUUCAAUUGUGUGCAAAAUACCGAGUUGCAGUUUUGCUAUUCACUGGCUGGAAGAACAUAUACUGAUAAACGGUUAAGUCAAAAUGGUUCCGAGGGAAUUGAGUGCUUGGAUAUCUUGUUGAUCAGUCUACAAUGUAUUGACGACCGCCUAGCAGAAAUUAUGUUCGAUGAGAUUGCGCUGCAGGUUGCUAUACAUUGCAAGGAAUUUGGCAUUGCGGGAGAGGUGUUGGGCAGCUAUGUUUUUCCUAUUGCUUCAGUGGAGCACCCACCCUGUACUUUUGGGCAGCUUAUCCUAUUUGUGUCAAUGCACUGGAACAAUUCAUGUCGGAAGGGAUUCAAAAGAAGUGGUCAUACUGCAAUCAGCUUACUCAUUGGCAAUGCAUGGCGACGGUGUUCCAAUCUCCUUGAAAAUUGCAUAAUGAUCCUCCGAGGUCUAUUAUGGUGCUUGUGGUUUGUGAGAGAGUACAAUGAAGAUUGUUGUUUCACUAAGCAGCCAUUACAUGAUGGUAAACAGGCUUUCGACACUAUGUGCAUGUUCUAUUAGUACGGCUCUUGUACUACACCUAUCUUGCGACAAUGGAUGCACAUCUAUUUCAGAGCAUGCAGAGAAUGGGUUCCCUGAGCACAGAAAGUUCGAGCAUUAUUUUUCUUCAGUCAAUGCAACUUCAGCCAUAUGUGCUAGUCUGCUGCGUUAUCUUCUCAGUGCAGUCCUCUUAUGAAUUAUAUGAGCAUUGUGUACUGGAGCGUGCUGUCAUAUUUCUGGGUGUGACAAAAUGCAGGGGGCAAAUCAGAUUAUGAGCAUGUUAGUGGUAUGGAUUUUCUGAGUGAAGAUGAAUUUAAGGGGAAUGGUCGUGUGGAGAUGCUCAGAUUCAGGAGUAAUUCACUAGUGUGUGAAACUGCUAGUUCAGUUAAAGAGUUGACUGGAUUGAAAUCUGAGGAUGUCGGGUCUAACUCAAGAACAUUCUCAAGGAGGGAGGGGUGUCAUCGCUGUCGCAGCCCGCUUCGCGCAAAGCUCCAUCGACCACAAGUACUACAUUGACUUCAACAAUGACUACUUCCUCGACAGUUCCUUCGGUGGGAUCGCAAUCGUCCAUGACUACUACUCCCAUGUUGUUAAAGCCAUCUCUGCCUUCAGCUGCCGCUACGACUUUGAGCCAGUCAAGGACCAUCGAGUGCAAUGGGACCCGGGCGAUUUUCGGUGGCACCGGCUUGGGGUCAAGCCGGAUUUCAAGGAGGGAGGGAUGUUAGGAGCCUCCUAGCCUGUACACGUACAGGGGUUGCCCCUUGGACCAGCCCAUGGACUUGGCCCUCGGUGCAGCUACUUAAGCGUGGUGUACAGAAGGAGAGGGUAUCCAGUGGAUCACGGACGAACCGACGACGACUCUUUCCUCCUACCUUCUUUCCCCUGUUGCAAGCUUCCUUUGUUCUUCUCCUCCAUUGUGUAAUUCCUCUGUAAUCACUACUCUGUAUUGCUACUUGUGAGAGAGAUCGAUCUAUACAAGCUAGCUACCAUCACCUCUCUUACAUCUGGUAUCAGAGACCAGCCACCACUCCUUCCCUACGCGUUUCGCCAAGCUCGUCGGCAUCGGGUAGCCAUGGAUCCAUGGAUGCAGGCGUAUCUCGAGCGGAUCGACACCAUGCUCGACGCCUACACCGACGCCACCAGGUCCCUCAUCGAGAAAGUGGACGCACUGGUCGUCACCUGGCGGCCAGACCUGGAGAAGAGGUCCUCCCACACCGCCGUCGUCCACGGUCCACCAGCGCCGACCUCGGCGCUCGAGACCACUACUGAGGCGUCCGAACCUGUCUCUGGCAUCUACUACUCCACCACCAAGGCCCAGGAGAUCCCCACGGUCGCCCAUGAUGCAACUCCGAUAUGCAUUCCGAUGGUGCCUGUCACCUGUUCGACGGAUUGCUCGACCCAGGUCGACGCCAUCGACAACGCCGACGAAGUCCAUGACGCCGCCACCGUCGCAACGGAGGUACGCAACACUACAACAGCACUCGGCCCCGAGCUCGCGGUCGACCUCUGCAAGACCAUGGCGACCACCAAGGUAGCCACCUGUGGUCACUACGGCAAGCUCGACGGCCUCAACAUCCCCGUGAAGGCCAGCAUCAGCCCGCCGCACCACGUCCAGGAUGCAUUCCCAAAUUAUUCCACAAUCAGCAACUGUCGCGCCGAUGUUGCCGGGACGGAUGAGUACGAACUCGUGGAGGCCACUCCAGGCGUCGCCAUUGAGCUUGCCAUCCUCCCAGGCGUCUCCUCCUUCAUGAACAAGCUAUUCCGGAAGCAUGACAUGGACGUCUCGCCGCCCACAAGGCACAAAGGGCAGCCAAUACGGCCGACACCAUGGCCGUCAUUUCUGGUGCAUCAUAGUGCAAAGGGGAAUGAGAUUCGACCCACUCCGUGGCCAUCGUUUUCUUGCUCUCAUGAAGGUAUGACUCUGAAUCAUGAAACUCUGCUGCCUCAUGUUACAUGUGAGAUGAAGAUUACUUGCUAGAGGAUGCAGUGAUUUCACACUCGGAAAGACUGGUUUACCCAGAUUUCACGUUGAUAAUUCCGCGUAUAGUUCUAAGCAAGUUGGUGAUCUUUUGGUGCGCCGACCGCUUGUGAUACUGAAGCAUAGGGGCUGCCUAAAACCUUUGAGCAGCAACACUGAAGUACCUUGUUGGUUUGAUUACUUCAUCAGCAGAAGUCCACAAAUACCCCAAGCAAUGUGUUGCCAACUAGAAAAGGAGCUGAAACCUUCUUGGCUGCUGAAUUAUUUAUCUGUUGUCCUGAAUUCUUUCUCAACAUUCUCAGGAUAUUUGCCAAGGGUAGAGCAGGUGCCCAGUAUUUUUCUGAAUGUUGUUUGCAGGAUCCGUAUGGUGCCAAUAGAUAUUCUUAUUCCGAGCCAAUCGGUUAAUCCUAUUACCUCUCUCAUGGUUGUCCACUGUUGUGACCUGAUUCCCGUGGAGGAGCACUUCAAUUAUGUGCAAAAUACCGAGUUGCAGUUUUGCUACCCACCCUGUACUUUUGGGCAACCUAUCCUAUUUGUGUCAAUGCACUGGAACAAUUCAUGUCGGAAGGGAUUCAAAAGAAGUGGUCAUACUGCAAUCAGCUUACACAUUGGCAAUGCAUGGCGACGGUGUUCCAAUCUCCUUGAAAAUUGCAUAAGGAUCCUCCGAGGUCAAUUAUGGUGCUUGUGGUCUGUGAGACAGUGCAAUGAAGAUUGUUGUUUCACUAAGCAGCCAUUACAUGAAAGUAAACAGGCUUUCGACACUAUGUGCAUGUUCUAUUAGUACGGCUCUUGUACUACAGUAUUCCUAUCUUGCAACAAUGGAUGCACAUCUAUUUCAGAGCAUGCAGAGAAUGGGUUCCCUGAGCACAGAAAGUUCGAGCAUUAUUUUUCUUCAGUCAAUGCAACUUCAGCCAUAUGCGCUAGUCUGCUGCGUUAUCUUCUCAGUGCAGUCCUUUUAUGAAUUACUAGUAAUUUGCCCGUGUGUUGCUAUGGAAUAAAAUAGAUGUAUAUGAAUAUAUUACAAAAAAAUCAUUGCAUUUUGUGGAAUCCCUACCACAUACUCGUUGGGUUCUGUUUCUCUUAAUUUGUUUAUCUCCUCUUCCAUUCCCUCACAUUUGUUCUCUCCGGUCACCAACUCUUCCUCUAGCCCCUCCAUCACUUCCUCCAACUUUGAUGAAUCUCAUCCAUGGAUGUUUAGAGCUGAAGAAUGGUGACACAUUAAGUGACAACGUGGGUUUCACUUUUUAGAUGCCACUUUCUUUGAACCCCUAAACACAAACACAUAUUAUUUCUAGCCUCGGUUUCUUUUCCUCCCUAGCAUUUUCCACCUUAGCCUUUUAGACACCUAAUUUGUUUUGUCCCCCUUUACCACGGUGACAAUUUGAAUUCAUAUGGUUAAAAACAUAAAAAUCACAUAUGCUCUUAAAUGCAAUGGCAAAAAGUAAUCUGGUGAGCUCUCUCUAAAUCAAAAUGUCCAAGACAAAACUGGACACCGUGUACAUGUACUGUAGAUCAGUAGUGUAGUUACUUAGAACUUGGACAAUAUUCUUGAUAAUUUUUGCAACAAGAAGUUGAGGGCCACUAUGGACUAAUUCUGUAUAGUAUAUAAUGUUACAGAUAUGACUGUGAUGUUGUGAAAAUAAAGUGAAUAGUUUCAAUAGUCAACAUGCUGUAAAGUAUCCUCUUAAGUUGAGGCCCUACCGCUGCUAUGAGGCAAAUUAGUAAAUUUACACGCUUGAUUGCAAAUGGAACAACGGCACAUACUUUGUGGUGCUUAAAUAAGCUAGGGUGAUGUAGUGUCAAUUAAAGAGUGGAAGGUGAUUAUUUUCUAACAAUAUAGGAUGAAAGCACAAGACAUUUUGAGAUCCUUGGAUUCACACGGAACAUAACAAAAGUAACACACAGAUCAAUCAAAUACUAUAUCUUUAAACAAAACAAAACCAGUAAUUAGUUUUCGACCAUACAUUGUACAUUACAGCGACAAACAUUAGUUCCAAAAUGACACCCAAUUCAACAGAUAUGUAGCAGCUUAAUGAGCCAUGUUACAAUAAUCAAGAACCAAAAUAGACACUUCUUUCCAUCUAUGCAUUCUUGCUGGCAAGAGUCACAGCUCAAGUCUUCUUUCUCCUAAGUGCAUUUCUUGCUUCUUUGUCUUAGAUUGGAUCUUUCAGUACUACAGAGGAACAAUGCAAGCACAAAACAUUCGAGCAAGAAUAUCUGAAAGUGCGUCAUCUACCGUCCUUGGUUCAAAAGGUCUAGACAAAAGGCUCCAACAUCAUGCCAUACUACUAAAGCUUGCUCCUGAUCCAUGAGUGUUUUACUAAGAUCGUUGUCGAUCCUGCAAAAGUAUUUAUACUUAAAUUUGGCAUAAAUGUGUUCCUUGCAUUACCUCUGAUCCAUCUGACGCCAGCUGCAAUAGAGCAGUGCUAUCCAGACGACAUUAUUUGGACGAUUUGCAGCCGACGAUUGAAUCCAGCCGUGCAAUCUUGUUCACGGCAGAGCAACGGCCGGUGGAUUCUUUAAUCGUGCACAGAUCGUCCAAAAGUUUAUCGUGUGUGAAGCAGUUUCGGCUGCAAUAUUUGGACCAAAGUACCCCUUGCUAAAAACAGUAGUAUGCAGAUCGUGCUCUACUUGAAGACAAAACGAUGAUUAAUAUAUAUAAAUGAUGCUAUGGAUACAUGAUACAAUUAGAUUAUCUAUAACGAAUAAACCAGCACCAUCCUUACCAACUUCAUGCUUUACUCUCAGCAUGGUAACUACAACGAUGGUACACGCCUCAACACUUAUCGGCCAAGUGGUUUGAUUAUUGUCACUAACUAAUUUCUGAACUUAUCUGUAUACUAACUGUUUGAAGUAAGCACUAAAAAGUACAUGCUGCUCAUGUUCAGGGAGAUGACGUACUUUAGAGAACCCAUACAUAACAGACAAAGUUUCAAAACGUACAAGAAGUCCAAACAUCAUGGAUAAAAUUAGAAUCCAAGAUUCUUGUCUCGUGCACACAUUCAUCUACAACCACGAGCUGCAGUUCACUUAAUUAUGAAGUAUGAACUAACUCAUCAAGGACUCAGUUAAGCAUCAGCAGGAGUAAGACAGAGGAGGUGGAAAUGCGCUCGGAUGGAAGCAAAUCAGAGCAGAGCACGACGUACUGUCCACAUGUUUGUCGACAUGGUGGCAUUGCGCUCCUGAGGAUCCGGUGCAGCUCUGGAGCGAGAGCGCCGACAUGGGGUGUGACCUCCAUGCGGUCUGGUGAUGGCAGGUGGGCAGUGGGCAUGCCCGCAGGGUGUGCGGCCUCCAGACAGUCGCAAGUACGGCGAACGAGCACGCUUGAAGAGGUUGCGGCUUCCGCGAUUCAUUGACGGUGAGCUAGUAGUACUGGCAGCGGUAGUGGCCACCACGCGGCACGGGUGACAGCGAGCGAGCAGGGCAUCAGACACAGAGCGUGAUGGACAGAAAGAAAGACACAGGAAGGGAGAGGGAUGAAGAAGCUGGGAGAAUUGGGGCGGUGUACAUGACGAUCUGAAUUUUGAACUAAGAUUGGGAACACCCAUGUCAGGGGAAGGGGUAUUGGGGGAGGUUGGCGGCAUGGGGGAAGCUGGCGGCAGCAAGACACAUUAGAGGGAGGCCGUGAGCAGGGGAGGUAAGAAGGCUUGGUUGCCUGGCUGCCGGUACGUGGAGCUCGGCGAGGAGGAAGGAGAGGUCGUGUGCGGCGGGGCUCCUACAUCAGAGUCUCGUGUGAGGAAGCAGGAGAGUCCUCGCGGGACUCAAGGGGCGGAUGGCGCCGGCGGCGUAGUUGCCGAUCGUCGGAGGAGAAGGGGUAGGGUUGGAGGAGAAGGUGGUGGGCGGCGGGUCUGCUGCAUCGGAGGAGAAGGCAUGAGAGGAGUCGCAGACUCGGCGGAAGGACGGCACCAGCGGCGUACUUGCCGAUGUCGGCGUCGUAGGAGACGAGGUAGGGGGAGGAGGAGACGACGGGGAGGUGCGUGUGGCGGUGGCCGGUGAGGUUCCUAUGGCAAAGAGGAGGGACGGAGCGCCNNNNNNNNNNNNNNNNNNNNNNNNNNNNNNNNNNNNNNNNNNNNNNNNNNNNNNNNNNNNNNNNNNNNNNNNNNNNNNNNNNNNNNNNNNNNNNNNNNNNNNNNNNNNNNNNNNNNNNNNNNNNNNNNNNNNNNNNNNNNNNNNNNNNNNNNNNNNNNNNNNNNNNNNNNNNNNNNNNNNNNNNNNNNNNNNNNNNNNNNNNNNNNNNNNNNNNNNNNNNNNNNNNNNNNNNNNNNNNNNNNNNNNNNNNNNNNNNNCAAAUGUGAAGUGGGGUUGGCUCCUAUGCGUUGGAUGCAGAUCAAACGGCCCAAAAAGAUAGAUGGCAGGCACACCAUCACCAUCAACUCAGAUUUUUAUAGGAGUAGAGAUAGAGAUAUGAGCAUCGUGUACUGGAGCGUGCUGUCAUAUUUUUGGGUGUGACAAAAUGCAGGGGGCAAAUCAGAUUAUGAGCAUGUUAGUAGUAUGGAUUUUCUGAGUGAAGAUGAAUUUAAGGGGAAUGAUCGUGUGGAGAUGCUCAGAUUCAGGAGUAAUUCACUAGUGUGUGAAACUGCUAGUUCAGUUAAAGGGUUGACUGGAUUGAAAUCCGAGGAUGUCGGGUCUAACUCAAGAACAUUCUCAAGGAGGGAGGGGUGUCAUCGUUGUCGCAACCCACAUCGCGCAAAGCUCCAUCGACCACACAACGACUACUUCCUCGACAGUUCCUUCGAUGGGAUCGCAAUCGUCCAUGACUACUACUCCCAUGUUGUUAAAGCCAUCUCUGCCUUCAACUGCCGCUAUGACUUUGAGCCAGUCAAGGACCAUCGAGUGCAAUGGGACCCGGGCGGUUUUCGGUGGCGCCGGCUUGGGGUCAAGCCGGAUUUCAAGGAGGGAGGGAUGUUAGGAGCCUCUACACAUACAGGGGCUGCCCCUUGGACCAGCCCAUGGACUGCCCUCGAUGCAGCUACUUAAGCAUGGUGUACAGAAGGAGAGAGUAUCCAGUGGAUCACGAACGAACCGACGACGGCUCUUUCCUCCUACCUUCUUCCCCCUGUUGCAAGCUUCCUCUGUAAUCACUACUACCUCCGUUCGGGUUUAUUAAUCCCCAUUGUAUUUCGUGCCAAAUUUUGACCAUAGAUCAAACUAACAAAAUGUUCACGCAUGUCACCAAACAUUAUAUUUUUGAAAACUAUGUUCAAAUACGAAUCCAAUGAGAUAAUUUUUCUUGACAUGCAUUAACAUUUUGUUAGUUAAAUCUUUAGUCAAAAUUUGGCACAAACUACAAAGGGGACCUAUAAACCAGGAGGGAGGUAGUACUCUAUUGCUACUCGUGAGAGAGAUCAAUCUAUACAAGCUAGCUACCAUCACCUCUCUUACAUUGGGUUUCAAUAAUCUGCUGCACAAAAUCUGGUUUUUGAAAGCUUUAUCCUGAGGGACCCUUAAAGCCAUUGCAGCAACACAAUUCUGGCGCAUGCUGCACAAAAUCUGGUUUUGGAAGCUGAGCCCAAGGGACACUUCACACCAUUACGUCCUAACUCGAACACAGUUCUGGCUCUCAACAAGGAUCGCAGCAUCAAACAUCUCAACCAACGAGAACCUCAAACAAGGCAAAAGCAGAAAUCCAAGCCACGGACGAGGCGAAAAGCCAGACAGAAAGGGAGUUGAGUACUGGACUGAACGAUUUAUAUAUUCUUCACAAACCACAACCAAAAAAGAGUACUUGAUUAGCAACUCCAUUACAGAUACUAGAGGUUGAUGCGGAAAACAGAAGGUAACUCAUGUCCAACUAACAUGAACCAGGCGUCGUCUGGCGACACCAUCCACAUUUAUUCUUCGCAUAGACAAAGCAGGGACACCUCUGACCAGGCGCCACAAACGAAAGCAGAACGCUCUACUGAGUCUUGGCCAUGUGGCGGAUCAGGUCGACAACGCGGUUGCUGCAGAGGAAUAAGAUUCAAG
This 16640-nucleotide long non-coding RNA is filed under the name Triticum aestivum (bread wheat). Its description in RNAcentral is "long non-coding RNA (TAES_LNC016314)". Lineage: Eukaryota; Viridiplantae; Streptophyta; Magnoliopsida; Poales; Poaceae. The record is from RNAcentral.